This 492-nucleotide ribosomal RNA is filed under the name uncultured bacterium. RNAcentral's name for it is "partial 16S ribosomal RNA". It matches the Rfam family "Bacterial small subunit ribosomal RNA", at positions 29 to 507 of the family's 1533-position model. The record is from RNAcentral.
AGUGAACGCUGGCGGUAGGCCUAACACAUGCAAGUCGAACGGCAGCACAGUAAGAGCUUGCUCUUACGGGUGGCGAGUGGCGGACGGGUGAGGAAUACAUCGGAAUCUACUUUUUCGUGGGGGAUAACGUAGGGAAACUUACGCUAAUACCGCAUACGACCUACGGGUGAAAGCAGGGGAUCUUCGGACCUUGCGCGAUUGAAUGAGCCGAUGUCGGAUUAGCUAGUUGGCGGGGUAAAGGCCCACCAAGGCGACGAUCCGUAGCUGGUCUGAGAGGAUGAUCAGCCACACUGGAACUGAGACACGGUCCAGACUCCUACGGGAGGCAGCAGUGGGGAAUAUUGCACAAUGGGCGCAAGCCUGAUCCAGCCAUACCGCGUGGGUGAAGAGGGCCUUCGGGUUGUAAAGCCCUUUUGUUGGGAAAGAAAAGCAGCAGGUUAAUACCCCGCUGUUCUGACGGUACCCAAAGAAUAAGCACCGGCUAACUUCGUG